RNAcentral lists this ribosomal RNA (488 nucleotides) under Streptococcus sp. oral taxon E12. RNAcentral describes it as "bacterial SSU rRNA". It matches the Rfam family "Bacterial small subunit ribosomal RNA", at positions 28 to 490 of the family's 1533-position model. Lineage: Bacteria; Bacillati; Bacillota; Bacilli; Lactobacillales; Streptococcaceae. The record is from RNAcentral.
GACGAACGCUGGCGGCGUGCCUAAUACAUGCAAGUAGAGCGCACAGGAUGCACCGUAGUUUACUACACCGUAUUCUGUGAGUUGCGAACGGGUGAGUAACGCGUAGGUAACCUGCCUGGUAGCGGGGGAUAACUAUUGGAAACGAUAGCUAAUACCGCAUAAGAACAUUUACUGCAUGGUAGAUGUUUAAAAGGUGCAAAUGCAUCACUACCAGAUGGACCUGCGUUGUAUUAGCUAGUAGGUGAGGUAACGGCUCACCAAGGCGACGAUACAUAGCCGACCUGAGAGGGUGAUCGGCCACACUGGGACUGAGACACGGCCCAGACUCCUACGGGAGGCAGCAGUAGGGAAUCUUCGGCAAUGGACGGAAGUCUGACCGAGCAACGCCGCGUGAGUGAAGAAGGUUUUCGGAUCGUAAAGCUCUGUUGUAAGAGAAGAACGAGUGUGAGAGUGGAAAGUUCACACUGUGACGGUAUCUUCCAGAAAGG